Molecule: unclassified non-coding RNA, 145 nt
Organism: Pongo abelii (Sumatran orangutan)
Lineage: Eukaryota; Metazoa; Chordata; Mammalia; Primates; Hominidae
Rfam family: Metazoan signal recognition particle RNA
About the family: The signal recognition particle (SRP) is a universally conserved ribonucleoprotein. It is involved in the co-translational targeting of proteins to membranes.
Source: Ensembl
GCUGGGUAUGGUGGUGCAUGCCUGUAGUCUUAGCUACUUGGGAGGCUGAGAUAGGAGGAUCGCUUGAGCCCAGGAUGUUGAGUCUGUAGUGAGUGAUCAUGCCACUGCACUCCAGCCUGGGUGACAGAGUGAGAUCUUGUCUCAA